CAGUCGCCGCGGGAAUACGAAGGGUGCAAGCGUUAAUCGGAAUUACUGGGCGUAAAGCGUGCGUAGGCGGUUUGUUAAGUCUGCUGUGAAAUCCCCGGGCUCAACCUGGGAAUGGCAGUGGAUACUGGCAAGCUAGAGUGUGUCAGAGGAUGGUGGAAUUCCCGGUGUAGCGGUGAAAUGCGUAGAGAUCGGGAGGAACAUCAGUGGCGAAGGCGGCCAUCUGGGACAACACUGACGCUGAGGCACGAAAGCGUGGGGAGCAAACAGGAUUAGAUACCCCCCGUAGUCCCUGUCUCUUAUA
RNAcentral lists this ribosomal RNA (301 nucleotides) under uncultured bacterium. RNAcentral's name for it is "partial 16S ribosomal RNA". It matches the Rfam family "Bacterial small subunit ribosomal RNA", at positions 509 to 808 of the family's 1533-position model. The record is from RNAcentral.